CGGAAUUAUUGGGCGUAAGCGCGCGCAGGCGGCCUUUUAAGUCUGAUGUGAAAGCCCACGGCUCAACCGUGGAGGGUCAUUGGAAACUGGAAGGCUUGAGUGCAGAAGAGAAGAGCGGAAUUCCACGUGUAGCGGUGAAAUGCGUAGAGAUGUGGAGGAACACCAGUGGCGAAGGCGGCUCUUUGGUCUGUAACUGACGCUGAGGCGCGAAAGCGUGGGGAGCGAACAGGAUUAGAUACCCUGGUAGUCCACGCCGUAAACGAUGAGUGCUAAGUGUUGGGGGGUUUCCGCCCCUCAGUGCUGCAGCUAACGCAUUAAGCACUCCGCCUGGGGAGUACGGCCGCAAGGCUGAAACUCAAAGGAAUUGACGGGGGCCCGCACAAGCGGUGGAGCAUGUGGUUUAAUUCGAAGCAACGCGAAGAACCUUACCAGGUCUUGACAUCCCGCUGACCGGUCUGGAGACAGAUCUUCCCCUUCGGGGGCAGCGGUGACAGGUGGUGCAUGGUUGUCGUCAGCUCGUGUCGUGAGAUGUUGGGUUAAGUCCCGCAACGAGCGCAACCCUUGAUCUUAGUUGCCAGCAUUUAGUUGGGCACUCUAAGGUGACUGCCGGUGACAAACCGGAGGAAGGUGGGGAUGACGUCAAAUCAUCAUGCCCCUUAUGACCUGGGCUACACACGUGCUACAAUGGAUGGUACAAAGGGCUGCAAGACCGCGAGGUUUAGCCAAUCCCAUAAAACCAUUCUCAGUUCGGAUUGCA
This 757-nucleotide ribosomal RNA is filed under the name Pseudobacillus badius. RNAcentral describes it as "bacterial SSU rRNA". It matches the Rfam family "Bacterial small subunit ribosomal RNA", at positions 546 to 1302 of the family's 1533-position model. Lineage: Bacteria; Bacillati; Bacillota; Bacilli; Caryophanales; Bacillaceae. The record is from RNAcentral.